This 886-nucleotide ribosomal RNA is filed under the name Halomonas sp. HL81. Its description in RNAcentral is "bacterial SSU rRNA". It matches the Rfam family "Bacterial small subunit ribosomal RNA", at positions 34 to 917 of the family's 1533-position model. The record is from RNAcentral. Lineage: Bacteria; Pseudomonadati; Pseudomonadota; Gammaproteobacteria; Oceanospirillales; Halomonadaceae.
CGCAAAAGGCGGCAGCCCUAAACAUGCAAGUCGAGCGGUAACAGGUCCUUCGGGAUGCUGACGAGCGGCGGACGGGUGAGUAAUGCAUAGGAAUCUACCCGGUAGUGGGGGAUAACCUGGGGAAACCCAGGCUAAUACCGCAUACGUCCUACGGGAGAAAGGGGGCUUUGGCUCCCGCUAUCGGAUGAGCCUAUGCCGGAUUAGCUGGUUGGUGAGGUAACGGCUCACCAAGGCGACGAUCCGUAGCUGGUCUGAGAGGAUGAUCAGCCACAUCGGGACUGAGACACGGCCCGAACUCCUACGGGAGGCAGCAGUGGGGAAUAUUGGACAAUGGGGGCAACCCUGAUCCAUCCAUGCCGCGUGUGUGAAGAAGGCCCUCGGGUUGUAAAGCACUUUCAGCGAGGAAGAACGCCUGGUGGUUAAUACCCGCCAGGAAAGACAUCACUCGCAGAAGAAGCACCGGCUAACUCCGUGCCAGCAGCCGCGGUAAUACGGAGGGUGCAAGCGUUAAUCGGAAUUACUGGGCGUAAAGCGCGCGUACGUGGCUUGAUAAGCCGGUUGUGAAAGCCCCGGGCUCAACCUGGGAACGGCAUCCGGAACUAUCAGGCUAGAGUGCAGGAGAGGAAGGUAGAAUUCCCGGUGUAUCGGUGAAAUGCGUAGAGAUCGGGAGGAAUACCUGUGGCGAAGGCGGCCUUCUUGGACUGACACUGACACUGAGGUGCGAAAGCAUGGGUAGCAAAACAGGAUUAGAUACCCUGGUAGUCCACGCCGUAAACGAUGUCUACCAGCCGUUGGGUGCCUAGCGCACUUUUGUGGCGAAGUAACUCGAUAAGUCGACCGACUGGGGGAGUACGGCCGCAGGUUAAAACUCAAAUGAAUUGACGGG